This 3094-nucleotide long non-coding RNA is filed under the name Lactuca sativa (garden lettuce). RNAcentral describes it as "long non-coding RNA (LSAT_LNC010353)". The record is from RNAcentral. Lineage: Eukaryota; Viridiplantae; Streptophyta; Magnoliopsida; Asterales; Asteraceae.
UUUGAAUUCAUUAAAAAACCAAAACAUUUAUUCUUUUAUUUCUCUUUUAUAAAAUUGUAACCAAAUUUUGUAUUUCACUACAACAUAUAUGCACAAUAUGUGUGACACCAAUUUGCGUACGGUGUCGCCCCUAAUACUAAGUUAUACAUGGUUAGUAUUGCGGAAUACGCCAUUGCCACCACAAAAAGUGUCGCAACUAAGAUGUAAUCGCUAAGGCCAUUAACGAUAUGUGUCCUACUUUUAACACACCAAUCUAAAUAUAAACCAUAUAUAAUCUCCUAAUCUAUCUCCUGGAGGGUUUUUUGAACCCCAAAAUAUUCGACUAUUUUUAGAAUGGUAUUACACCAACACUUUUUACCUUAUAGUUGAAGUAAUUCAUUUAUAAAAUCAGAACAUCAUUUACUUUUUUAUAAGUCAUUUUGUUUUAAUUCAUUAUAAAACCAAAACUUCUAUUUUUUUAAUUUUCUUUUAUAAAAUUGUAAUCCAAUUUUGUAUUUCACUGCAAGAUAUCUGCACAAUAUGUGUGACACCAAUUUCUAUACGAUGUCGAUGCUAAUGUUAAGUUAUAAAUGCUUGGUGUUGCUGCUUAUGCCAUUGCAGCCACAAAAUGGUCGCUACUAAGAUGUAAUCGCUAAGGGUAUUAACGAUAUGUGUCCUACUUUGGACAUACCAAUCUAAAUAUAAACCAAACAGAUUCUCCUAAUCUAUCUCCUUGAAGGUUUUUUGAAUUCCAAAAUAUUCGGCUCUUUUUAGAAUAGUUUUACACCAACANCAAUAUGAGCGACACCAACUUGUAUACGUGUCGCCAACAAUGCUAAGUUAUACAUGGUUGAUGUUGCCGCUUAUGCCAUUGCAGCCACAAAAAGAGUCCUUACUUUGGACAUACCAAUCUAAAUAUAAACCAAACGGAUUCUCCUAAUCUAUCUCCUUGAAUGUUUUUUGAAUUCCAAAAUAUUCAGCUCUUUUUAGAAUAGUUUUACACCAACACAUUUUACAUUAUAGUUGAAAUAAUUCUUUUAGAAAAUCAGAAACAUCUUUUUACUUUUUUAUAAGUCAUUUUAUUUGAAUUCAUUAUAAACCCAAAACUUCAUUUUUUUUUUCUUUUAUAAAAUUGUAACCCAAUUUUGUAUAUCACUACAAGAUAUCUGCACAAUAUGUGCGACACCAAUUUGUAUGCGGUGUCACCCCUAAUGCUAAGUUAUACAUGCUUGGUAUUGCCGCUUAUGCCAUUGCCGCCGCAAGAAGUGUGUCUACUAAGAUGUAAUCGCUAUGGGCAUUAAGGAUAUGCGUCCUACUUUGGACACACCAAUCUAAAUAUAAACCAAACAGAAUCUCCUAAUCUAUCUGCUGCAGGGUUUUUUGAAUCCCAAAAUAUUCGGCUCUUUUUACAUUAGUUUUACACCAACACUUUUUACAUUAUAGUUGAAUUAAUUCAUUUUUAAAAUCAGAAAUAUCUUUUACCUUGUUAUAAGUUAUUUUAUUUGAAUUCGUUAUAAAACCAAAACUUCUACUUUAUUAGUUUUCUUUUAUAAAAUUUUAACCUAAUUUUGAAUUUCACUACAAGAUAUCGGCACAAUAUGUGUGACACCAAUUUGUAUACAGUUUAGCACCUAAUACUAAGUUAUACAUGCUUGGUGUUGAUGCUAAUGCCAUUGCCGCCACAAAAAUUGUCACUACUAAUAUGUAUUCGCUAUGGGCAUUAACAAUAUGUGUCCAACUUUGGACACACCACUCUAAAUAUAAACCAAACAGAAUCUCCUAAUCUAUCUCCUGGAUUGGUUUUUGAAACCUAAAAUAUCCGGCUGUUUUUAGAAUAAUUUUACACCAACACUUUUUACAUUAUAGUUGAAGUUAUUCAUUUAUAAAAUCAGAAACAUCUUUUACUUUUUUAUAAGUCAUUUUAUUUGAAUUCAUUAAAAAACCAAAACAUUUAUUCUUUUAUUUCUCUUAUAUAAAAUUGUAACCAAAUUUUGUAUUUUACUACAACAUAUCCGCACAAUAUGUGUGACACCAAUUUGCGUACGGUGUCGCCCCUAAUACUAAGCUAUACAUGGUUAGUAUUGCGGCUUAUGCCAUUGCCUCCACAAAAAGUGUCGCAACUAAGAUGUAAUCGCUAAGGUCAUUAACGAUAUGUGUCCUACUUUUGACAGACCAAUCUAAAUAUAAACCAAAUAGAAUCUCCUAAUCUAUCUCCUGGAGGGUUUUUUGAACCCCAAAAUAUUCGACUAUUUUUAGAAUGGUAUUACACCAACACUUUUUACCUUAUAGUUGAAGUAAUUCAUUUAUAAAAUCAAAACAUCAUUUACUUUUUUAUUAGUCAUUUUGUUUUAAUUCAUUAUAAAACCAAAACUUCUAUUUUUUUAAUUUUCUUUUAUAAAAUUGUAAUCCAAUUUUGUAUUUCACUGCAAGAUAUCUGCACAAUAUGCGUGACACCAAUUUCUAUACCAUGUCGAUGCUAAUGUUAAGUUAUAAAUGCUUGGUGUUGCUGCUUAUGCCAUUGCUGCCACAAAAUGGUCGCUACUAUGAUGUAAUCGCUAAGGGUAUUAACGAUAUGUGUCCUACUUUGGACACAUCAAUCUAAAUAUAAAUCAAACAGAAUCUCCUAAUCUAUCUCCUGGAGCGUUUUUUUGAAUCCCAAAAUAUUCGGCUCUUUUUAGAGUAGUUUUACACCAACAUUUUUUUUACAUAUAGUUGAAGUAAUUCAUUUCUAAAAUCAGAAACAUCUUUUACUUUUUUAUAAGUCAUUGUAUUUGAAUUCACUAUAGUACAAAAACUUCUAUUUUUUUAUUUUCUUUUAUAAAAUUGUGAUCCAAUUUUGUAUUUCUCUAUAAGAUAUUUGCACAAUAUGAGCGACACCAACUUGUAUACGUGUCGCCAACAAUGCUAAGUUAUACAUGGUUGAUGUUGCCGCUUAUGUCAUUGCAGCCACAAAAAGAGUCCCUACUUUGGACAUACCAAUCUAAAUAUAAACCAAACAGAUUCUCCUAAUCUAUCUCCUAGAAGGUUUUUUGAAUUCCAAAAUAUUCGGCUCUUUUUAGAAUAGUUUUACACCAACACAUUUUACAUUAUAGUUGAAAUAAUUGUUUUAUAAAAU